Molecule: long non-coding RNA, 1103 nt
Organism: Phasianus colchicus (ring-necked pheasant)
Lineage: Eukaryota; Metazoa; Chordata; Aves; Galliformes; Phasianidae
Source: Ensembl
CCAGUACCUCCAACUCCCAGUAAGGCAGCACCCCAACACCCCAUUAUCCCAGCACCCCACAAUCCCAGUAUACCAGUCCUCCAGUCCCCCAGUACCCCACAAUCCCAGAACACCAGGCCUCCAGAACCCCAAUAUUACUUUGUUCCCCCAGUAUCCCAGCACCCCAAUCCUCCAGCAUCCCAGCAACCCAGUCCUCCAGCAACAGAUCCUCCGGGAUCCCAACACCCCAGUCCUCCAGCAUCCCAGCAACCCAGUCCUCCAGCACCCCAGUCCUCCAGCAUCUCAAUAUCCUGACACCUCAGUCCUCCAGCAUCUCAGUAACCCAGUCCUCCAGCAUCUUGGUAUUCUGGAACCCCAGUCCUCCAGCAUCUCAGUAUCCUGGCACCUCAGUCCUCCAGCUUCCCAGCAGCCCAGAAUUCCAGUAUUCUGGCACCCCAGUCCUCCAGCAUCUCAGUGUCCUGGCACCUCAGUCCUCCGGGAUCCCAGCAAUCCAGUCCUCCAGCAUCUUGGUAUUCUGGAACCCCAAACCUCCAGCAUCUCAAUAUCCUGGCACCUCAGUCCUGCAGCAUCGCAGCAUCCCAACAACCCAGUCCUCCAGCACCCCAGUAUUCUGGCACCCCAGUCCCCCAGCAUCUCAAUAUCCUGACACCUCAGUCCUCCAGCAUCCCAGCAACCCAGUCCUCCAGCAUCCCAAUAUCCCGGCACCCCAGUCCUCCACCAUCUCUGUAUCCCGGCACCCCAGCCCCCCCAGUCCUCCACCAUCUCGAUAUAUCCCGACACCCCAGUCCUCCAGCAUCCCGUUAUCCCAAUAUCCCAGUCCUCCAGCACCCCUCUACCCCCUCCCCCCCCCUCCUUCCCAUCUCCCCCUCACAUGGCGGCUCCGUUCCCCUCCGCUGCGCUUCAGCUCCUCCGCUCACACGCGCUUCUCCCCUCUCACUUCCGCUUCCGGGUCACUCUAACGCUCCAGGGUAACCACUUCCGGCUCAGAGCGCGGGAAGACAGGGAGGGCGACCUGCGCAUGCGCGGGAGUGAGAUGAGGGGCGUGGCCUAAGGGGGAAAAGGGGCGUGGCCUGGGGGAGGCCACGGAGGCAGACUGGGAGGGA